RNAcentral lists this ribosomal RNA (254 nucleotides) under uncultured prokaryote. Its description in RNAcentral is "partial 16S ribosomal RNA". It matches the Rfam family "Bacterial small subunit ribosomal RNA", at positions 524 to 776 of the family's 1533-position model. The record is from RNAcentral.
UACGAGGGGGGCGAGCGUUGUUCGGAAUUAUUGGGCGUAAAGGGCGCGUAGGCGGUCAGCACAAGUCAGUUGUGAAAUCUCCGGGCUUAACUCGGAAAGGUCAACUGAUACUGUGCGGCUAGAGUGCAGAAGGGGCAACUGGAAUUCUCGGUGUAGCGGUGAAAUGCGUAGAUAUCGAGAGGAACACCUGCGGCGAAGGCGGGUUGCUGGGCUGACACUGACGCUGAUGCGCGAAAGCCAGGGGAGCGAACGGG